RNA transcript from Rhipicephalus sanguineus (brown dog tick), 1423 nucleotides. It is a transcript of the gene named major facilitator superfamily domain-containing protein 4A, with no coding region annotated. Lineage: Eukaryota; Metazoa; Arthropoda; Arachnida; Ixodida; Ixodidae. The transcript has 4 exons. The record is from RefSeq and is a predicted model, not a curated record.
GUCAAGUCGGUUCGAGCAUGUCUCCCCGCAAGAAGCUUUGGCUAAACCUGGGACGGACGUGCAACUUGAGCCUCGGAAACCUGGGAAUGGGCCUCGUCAGUGGCAUAACAGGCGUUGCUUUGCUGGACCUGACUGAGAUCUAUGCGACGAGCAUCGCCAGCUUAUCGUACCUCCUCACCAGUUUGGGCGUCGGCGCUCUCAUCGGUUCCCUUCUUGGAGGCAAGCUGCACGACACGUACAACACGCAAUUGGUGUCAAUCAUUGCACUGGCAGUAACCAGCGUCACGGUGACCAUGAUUCCGCUCAGCGGUAUCCUGCCCCUGGCGCACGGUACCAUGUUCUUGUGUGGACUCAGCGUGGCUGCUUUCCUCACCGGUGCAAACAUAUGGAUAAUGAGGAUGUGGAUGGACAACAGCACCCCGCGCUGCAGGUCUUCCACUUGGCCUUCGGCAUCGGUGGCCUCGUCGGCCCGUUCAUCGCACGACCGUUCCUGUCCAACAACAGCGGGAACACUACCGCCCCGAACAACACCUACGAACUACACCUCACCAAGAACAUCUUUUAUCACCCAGUCGACCUGCUACUUCCAACCAACAGCACCCCUGCCCAAAAUGCCACGGGCGAAUCCCACGUAUACUGCGCGUAUGGCACCGUCGGUGCAUUUUAUGUAAUUCUCACCAUUUCCAUGAUCGUAUUUUACGUCGUAGACAACGUGGACUUCAAACCUGCAACGCCUGAAGGCGAGAGCCCUGCCGGAGCUGAGGGAUCCCGUAACACCGUCCGCUUUACGCGGAUCGUUUUGGCCACAAUGUGCCUUUACAUAGGUAUGGAAGUCGCGUUCGAGAAUACCACGUCACAGAUGGUGGCCUCGUACGCAGUCAAGAGUCGGCUACACUUCUCGAAGUCGUUGGCUGCCCGCCUCGAAUCUGCGUACUACUUUUCCUUCGCCGCCAGCCGCCUCACGGCCAGCCUGGUUACAAUCAAGCUUCCCAUCUUCUGGGUCUUAGUUGCGGCGCAAGUCAUUCUUAUACCCACCGUCGUGACCCUCGCGAUACUGGGUUCAAGCAGCUCCACGGUGCUGUGUAUCUGCACGGCUCUCUUGGGUGUCGGACAAGGGCCGGUCUACGCCGCCAUAAUAGCGUGGACGUCCGGGAACAUCGUUCUGAAUAACAAGAUGAUGGCUCUAGUCGCUGUCACCGACGGCAUAGGGUCAAUGACGGCGCCGGUUGUCGUGGGUCAGUUUCUGGUCAGCGACCCAAACGUGUUCCUUUACGCCUGUCUUUCGACGUCAGUGUUGUGUGCGCUCAUUUUCACGUCCAUGUGUCUCUAUAUACGAAGCGCGGGGCAUCAGAGCGAUGAUAAACAACUGCUAGUCAACGAAGCUGACAGCGAGCACAGUGACCACAGCGACAGACUUCAAUAG